AGGCAGUGGCGGGGGAAGGCACCGGUGGGGCCGACGGGCGGGCUGAGGAGGGAAGCGGACGAGCGAAGUCCCAGUGCGCGCCGCGGCGGCCGGGGUACCCUCCCCUUCCGGGCGUGAGGCGCUGAGAGGAAAGCGGAGCGGAGCGGACUCGCAUCGGCAGCGAGGUGCUUCUCGGGGUGCCCCAGACCGGCCUCCCGCGGCUUCGGCGCUCCAGUCGCGGGGCCCGGGUUCCUCCACACACCUAGCUCCAGCCGCCGUCAGAGCUUGUCCCCAGUUCGUCGAAGCCCCGGCGGUAGCCCGGGCUCUUGGCGGGGAGGAUGACGGAGCUGCAGUCUGCGCUGCUACUGCGAAGACAGCUGGCAGAACUCAACAAAAACCCAGUGGAAGGCUUUUCAGCAGGUUUAAUAGAUGACAAUGAUCUCUAUCGAUGGGAAGUCCUUAUUAUUGGUCCUCCAGAUACACUUUACGAAGGUGGUGUUUUUAAGGCGCAUCUCACUUUCCCAAAAGAUUACCCCCUCCGGCCUCCUAAAAUGAAAUUCAUUACAGAGAUUUGGCACCCAAAUGUUGAUAAAAAUGGUGAUGUUUGCAUUUCUAUUCUUCAUGAGCCUGGGGAAGAUAAAUAUGGUUAUGAAAAGCCAGAGGAACGUUGGUUGCCUAUCCAUACUGUGGAAACCAUUAUGAUUAGCGUCAUUUCUAUGCUGGCCGACCCUAAUGGAGAUUCACCUGCAAAUGUAGAUGCUGCGAAAGAGUGGAGAGAAGACAGAAAUGGAGAAUUUAAAAGGAAAGUUGCCCGAUGUGUAAGAAAAAGCCAAGAAACUGCUUUUGAGUGAUGUUUAUUCAAUAGCUAGUAGCUUCAAUUAUUUCAGGGAUGUAAGCUCUCAGCUACUGCCUCAGCGCCAUGCCUGCCUGCCUGCUGCCAUGCUCCCUGCAAUGAUGGUCAUGGACUCACCCUCUGAAACUGUCUCCAAUUGAGAAAUAUGGCACUGUUUUUCCUGCACUCUACCCACCUAUUGCUGGACUUCUGUUGUAACAAGUUGGCAAACUCUGGCUGGAACUGGGCUGCAAUAAAACAUGCCAGUCAUUAAUGCUGACAAGAGCCUAACAAGUGCCAACUUACAGAUGAUUACGCAUUUUGAAUUCUAAUGAACUGUUUUAACCUUCAGGAAGAAUUGUAAAGACCUGUACAUAGCACAACAUGAUCCGGAUAAUAUAUAUACUGUUCAUGUACAUCCACAAACACACCUUGUACCAAAUAAUGCUUUCUUGUAGUAGAAUAAGAAUCGUGUAAAUUCUAAAAGACUUUAGCAGGUUUUCUUUUCCCAUUCAUUGUUUCUUAUCAGUUCAAAAAGAUUCUUUAAAGCAUGUCAGGUGAAAACCAAUAAGGAUUAAAAGUUUCCAUAUAAUUUCCUUUAAACCAUUGAGUCUUCAUUAUAUUUACUAAUCUUUUGUAUUUGUUUUGACACACUACCCUUUCCUUUUAUCUCUUCUGUCUGCCAGAAAGUUCUCAAAUCACUUAGUUAAAAUACUGAAAUACUAAUAAAUUACUUGAUUUUCCAUGAUGACUUCAGAGGUGGGGUCAUCACUAGGUGCUUUGUCCUUUUGUACUGAGAUUCACCCAUCUCUUGGAUUGGAUGUAGCAAUAACAUUUUCUGGCCGUUGAGAGCUCUUGAUCUUAGUCAUUAUCUUCUGGGAACUUAAAAAGGAAAAAAAAAAAAAAAAAAAGUGAAGCCUGUUCUAAGUUCAACUUAGAGAAUUUUAUUCCAAACAAUACAAAAAUCCAGAUUUGAUUUUAUUUUUGCCCAUAAGUUGCCUAAUAUUAAGGUUGGAUGAAUAAAGCAUGCACAGCUACAGGCUUUCUACAUCUGGGAUUGCUAUUAAAAAUGCUAUUUGUCCCCUUACCCCUCUCUUAGUCCUUCAUAUUUCUUUGUUUCUUCUUUAGUGCAGAUUUUCCUCACCUAUUGUACAAAGAAAUUGCGAUGUAUAUUUUCAUGUAAUUUGAUUUUGGAAUUUUGUCACCUUAUGUAGUGAGUUCUUCCAAAAUAUAAUUUUUUU
This is an RNA transcript of Phodopus roborovskii (desert hamster), 2052 nucleotides long. It is a transcript of the gene named ubiquitin conjugating enzyme E2 G1, with no coding region annotated. The record is from RefSeq and is a predicted model, not a curated record. Lineage: Eukaryota; Metazoa; Chordata; Mammalia; Rodentia; Cricetidae. The transcript is spliced from 7 exons.